Molecule: signal recognition particle RNA, 98 nt
Filed under: Burkholderia sp.
Lineage: Bacteria; Pseudomonadati; Pseudomonadota; Betaproteobacteria; Burkholderiales; Burkholderiaceae
Description: signal recognition particle sRNA small type
Rfam family: Bacterial small signal recognition particle RNA
About the family: The signal recognition particle (SRP) is a universally conserved ribonucleoprotein involved in the co-translational targeting of proteins to membranes. Archaeal SRP consists of a 7S RNA and homologues of the eukaryotic SRP19 and SRP54 proteins.
Source: RNAcentral
GACGAGCCUCCUCGCAUAGAAAGUCGGUAAACCUGGUCAGGUCUGGAAAGAAGCAGCCAUAGCCGUUCCAACUAGUGCCGAGGGUCAGGCUCGUCAUU